CCCUUAGAUGUUCUGGGCCGCACGCGCGCUACACUGAUACGUUCAACGAGCUCCUUGACCGAGAGGCCCGGGUAAUCUUUGAAACCGUAUCGUGAUGGGGAUAGAACAUUGCAAUUAUUGUUCUUCAACGAGGAAUGCCUAGUAAGCGCGAGUCAUCAUCUCGCGUUGAUUACGUCCCUGCCCUUUGUACACACCGCCCGUCGCUCCUACCGAUUGAACGUGCUGGUGAAGCGUUAGGACUGGAGGUCUUGGGCCGGUUCGCCUGCCCAUAGCUUCGGGAAUUUCGUUGAACCCUCCCGUUUAGAGGGAGGAGAAGUCGUAACA
RNAcentral lists this ribosomal RNA (324 nucleotides) under uncultured eukaryote. Its description in RNAcentral is "partial 18S ribosomal RNA". It matches the Rfam family "Eukaryotic small subunit ribosomal RNA", at positions 1470 to 1796 of the family's 1831-position model. The record is from RNAcentral.